AUUUGGAAAAAUAACAGGCACUAUGAUAGAAAUAGUAAAAGACUAUGGGAAGUUUGAAAAUCAUAGACACUUACAGGAAGUUUGGCAGUGUUCUACCUUUGCAUUGCUUUUCAUAAUAAAUGAAGAAUACUGUGGUCUGUCUCUGAAUGGGCUUGUGGAGUUGGCUGGGAAGGAAAAUGAAAAAAACGUCUAGGAUGAUGGAAUUUAAUGGAGAUAAGAGAAGAGAGCCACACAGAGAGAGCACCAGUGAAGAUGUGUUCGGAGACUUAACUGCUGCAACUGCAAAUCAAGGAAAGCCUG
Molecule: long non-coding RNA, 300 nt
Filed under: Callithrix jacchus (white-tufted-ear marmoset)
Lineage: Eukaryota; Metazoa; Chordata; Mammalia; Primates; Cebidae
Description: lncRNA (ENSCJAG00000071628.1)
Source: RNAcentral